RNAcentral lists this ribosomal RNA (253 nucleotides) under uncultured bacterium. RNAcentral describes it as "partial 16S ribosomal RNA". It matches the Rfam family "Bacterial small subunit ribosomal RNA", at positions 524 to 776 of the family's 1533-position model. The record is from RNAcentral.
UACGGAGGGUGCGAGCGUUGUCCGGAAUCACUGGGCGUAAAGGGCGCGUAGGCGGCGAGGAUAGUCAACGGUGAAAGCUUGGGGCUCAACCCCGAGUCGGCCGUCGAUACUUCCUUGCUUGAGCACUGUAGAGGCAGAUGGAAUUCCGGGUGUAGCGGUAGAAUGCGUAGAGAUCCGGAAGAACACCGGUGGCGAAGGCGGUCUGCUGGGCAGUAGCUGACGCUGAGGCGCGACAGCGUGGGGAGCAAACAGG